RNAcentral lists this ribosomal RNA (206 nucleotides) under uncultured bacterium. Its description in RNAcentral is "partial 16S ribosomal RNA". It matches the Rfam family "Bacterial small subunit ribosomal RNA", at positions 568 to 774 of the family's 1533-position model. The record is from RNAcentral.
AGCGUAGACGGCGCAGCAAGUCUGAUGUGAAAGGCAGAGGCUUAACCCCUGGACUGCAUUGGAAACUGCUGUGCUUGAGUGCCGGAGGGGUAAGCGGAAUUCCUAGUGUAGCGGUGAAAUGCGUAGAUAUUAGGAGGAACACCAGUGGCGAAGGCGGCUUACUGGACGGUAACUGACGUUGAGGCUCGAAAGCGUGGGAGCAAACA